UUUUCUCCACACCCUCUCCAGCAUUUAUUGUUUGUAGAUUUUUUGAUGAUGGCCAUUCUGACCGGGGCAAGGUGAUACCUCAUUGUAGUUUUGAUUUGCAUUUCUCUA
Balaenoptera musculus (blue whale) is the source of this 108-nucleotide long non-coding RNA. RefSeq lists it as uncharacterized. The record is from RefSeq and is a predicted model, not a curated record. Lineage: Eukaryota; Metazoa; Chordata; Mammalia; Artiodactyla; Balaenopteridae. The transcript has 3 exons.